RNAcentral lists this ribosomal RNA (467 nucleotides) under uncultured bacterium. Its description in RNAcentral is "partial 16S ribosomal RNA". It matches the Rfam family "Bacterial small subunit ribosomal RNA", at positions 29 to 507 of the family's 1533-position model. The record is from RNAcentral.
ACGAACGCUGGCGGCGUGCUUAACACAUGCAAGUCGAACGGAAAGGCCCUGCUUUUGUGGGGUGCUCGAGUGGCGAACGGGUGAGUAACACGUGAGUAACCUGCCCUUGACUUUGGGAUAACUUCAGGAAACUGGGGCUAAUACCGGAUAGGAGCUCCUGCUGCAUGGUGGGGGUUGGAAAGUUUCGGCGGUUGGUGAUGGACUCGCGGCUUAUCAGCUUGUUGGUGGGGUAGUGGCUUACCAAGGCUUUGACGGGUAGCCGGCCUGAGAGGGUGACCGGCCACAUUGGGACUGAGAUACGGCCCAGACUCCUACGGGAGGCAGCAGUGGGGAAUAUUGCACAAUGGGCGGAAGCCUGAUGCAGCAACGCCGCGUGCGGGAUGACGGCCUUCGGGUUGUAAACCGCUUUCGCCUGUGACGAAGCGUGAGUGACGGUAAUGGGUAAAGAAGCACCGGCUAACUACGUG